Molecule: ribosomal RNA, 495 nt
Filed under: uncultured bacterium
Lineage: Bacteria
Description: partial 16S ribosomal RNA
Rfam family: Bacterial small subunit ribosomal RNA
Source: RNAcentral
GACGAACGCUGGCGGCGUGCCUAAUACAUGCAAGUAGAACGCUGAAGGAGGAGCUUGCUUCUCUGGAUGAGUUGCGAACGGGUGAGUAACGCGUAGGUAACCUGCCUGGUAGCGGGGGAUAACUAUUGGAAACGAUAGCUAAUACCGCAUAAGAGUAGAUGUCGCAUGACAUUUGCUUAAAAGGUGCAAUUGCAUCACUACCAGAUGGACCUGCGUUGUAUUAGCUAGUUGGUGAGGUAACGGCUCACCAAGGCAACGAUACAUAGCCGACCUGAGAGGGUGAUCGGCCACACUGGGACUGAGACACGGCCCAGACUCCUACGGGAGGCAGCAGUAGGGAAUCUUCGGCAAUGGACGGAAGUCUGACCGAGCAACGCCGCGUGAGUGAAGAAGGUUUCCGGAUCGUAAAGCUCUGUUGUAAGAGAAGAACGAGUGUGAGAGUGGAAAGUUCACACUGUGACGGUAUCUUACCAGAAAGGGACGGCUAACUACGUG